GAUGAACGCUGGCGGCGUGCCUAAUACAUGCAAGUCGAGCGAACAGACGAGGAGCUUGCUCCUCUGACGUUAGCGGCGGACGGGUGAGUAACACGUGGAUCACCUACCUAUAAUACUGGGAUCACUUCGGGAAACCGGAGCUAACACCGGAUAAUAUAUUGAACCGCAUGGUUCAAUAGUGAAAGACGGUUUUGCUGGCACUUAUAGAGGGAUCCGCGCCGUAUUAGCUAGUUGGUAAGGUAACAGCUUACCAGGGCAACUAGGCGUAGCCGACCGGAGUGGGGGAUAGGCCGCCUGGGAGGUGGGCCGGCCUCCAGGCUCCUGCGGGAGGCAGCAGUAGGGAAUGUUACGCAGUGGGCGGAAGCCUUGCGGAGCGGCGCCACGUGAGAGACGACGGUCUUCGGAUCGUAAUACUGUGUUAUUGGUGGAGAACAGAUGUGUACGUAACUAUGCACGUCUUGACGGUACCUGAUAAGAAAGCACCGGCUAACUACGUG
RNAcentral lists this ribosomal RNA (497 nucleotides) under uncultured bacterium. RNAcentral's name for it is "partial 16S ribosomal RNA". It matches the Rfam family "Bacterial small subunit ribosomal RNA", at positions 28 to 507 of the family's 1533-position model. The record is from RNAcentral.